RNAcentral lists this ribosomal RNA (440 nucleotides) under uncultured bacterium. RNAcentral's name for it is "partial 16S ribosomal RNA". It matches the Rfam family "Bacterial small subunit ribosomal RNA", at positions 338 to 795 of the family's 1533-position model. The record is from RNAcentral.
CCUACGGGGGGCAGCAGUGGGGAAUAUUGCACAAUGGGGGAAACCCUGAUGCAGCGACGCCGCGUGAGUGAAGAAGUAUUUCGGUAUGUAAAGCUCUAUCAGCAGGGAAGAAAAUGACGGUACCUGAUUAAGAAGCCCCGGCUAACUACGUGCCAGCAGCCGCGGCCAUACGUAGGGGGCAAGCGUUAUCCGGAUUUACUGGGUGUAAAGGGGGCGUAGACGGCAGCACAAGUCUGGAGGGAAAUGCCGGGGCUUAACCCCGGGACUGCGUUGUAAACUGUGCAGCUAGAGUGCAGGAGAGGUAAGUGGAAUUCCUAGUGUAGCGGUGAAAUGCGUAGAUAUUAGGAGGAACACCAGUGGCGAAGGCGGCUUACUGGACUGUAACUGACGUUGAGGCUCGAAAGCGUGGGGAGCAAACAGGAUUAGAUACCCCUGUAGUC